GGUAAGUGCACGUUGGUGACUUUCAUCCAAUCUCCUGUGCACCUUUGGCCUCUUGCUAGCUUCGGCCGGCAGAGGAAUUUACACACACUCGAAUGUAAUGAAAUAUAUUGUCGUGCGCAAGCACUAAUGUACAACUUUCAACAACGGAUCUCUUGGCUCUCGCAUCGAUGAAGAACGCAGCGAAAUGCGAUAAGUAAUGUGAAUUGCAGAAUUCAGUGAAUCAUCGAAUCUUUGAACGCACCUUGCACCCUUUGGCAUUCCGAAGGGUAUGCUCGUUUGAGUGUCAUUGUACUCUCACACUCCCGAUCUUUGGGUCGGGAGCGGUGGACUUGGGUGUUGCUGCUUACCGUGGCUCACCUCAAAUGGAUUAGUGCACCUCUUGGUUGGACAUAGUACGGCGUGAUAAGUGUCUUCGCCGGCACCUCACUAGAGGGUGGCCGAUCGGGAGCUCUGUGCUUCAAACCGUCCUCGGACAACAACUGACAACUUGACCUCAAAUCGAGUAGGACUACCCGCUGAACUUAAGCAUAUCAA
This 534-nucleotide ribosomal RNA is filed under the name uncultured fungus. Its description in RNAcentral is "eukaryotic LSU rRNA". The stretch from base 133 to 286 matches the Rfam family "5.8S ribosomal RNA". Lineage: Eukaryota; Fungi. The record is from RNAcentral.